AUGGACAUUCUAAGUACUAAGCUCCAACGCACCGCCAAAGCACUUCGGAGGUGGGGCCAGAGGAAACAGAGUGCCAUGAAUUUGCAGUUUCAAGCAGCUAACGAGAUCAUUCUUCAUCUGGAUACAGCACAUGAGGCAAGAACCCUAUCUGCUCAGGAGAGAAAACUCAAGGGCUUUUUAAAAGGUAAAUGCCGGGCUCUGGCAUCCUUGGAGAGAGUUCGACUGAGACAAAGAGCAAAGAUUAGAGAUCUUUGGGAAGGAGAUGCUAACUUGAAAUACUUUCAUCUCAAAGCUAAUGGGCGCAGAAGGAAACAUCUCAUACCCUACCUGCAGUUUGGAGAACGCAUGGCAUCCUCCAUGGAAGAGAAGUUAAAUCUGGCAUAUGAUUUCUUUAGGGAUUCGAUCGGGGUCCCAACGGCUAGGCACAAGGCUUUGGAGGCCCCUUUCUCUAGAGAGGAGAUCAAGAAGGUCAGAGGUUUUGGCAACAAAUGGUGUUCUUGGAUCCGUGGUCUUCUGAGCUCGACCUCCUCCUCGGUUCUCAUCAAUGGGGAAACCAGUACGCCUUUCACCCUGGGUAAGGGAGUAAGGCAGGGUGACCCUCUAUCGUCGGCACUCUUCAUCUUAGCCAUAGAUGCAUUGCAAGCAAUGCUCAAUUGGGCUACGAGUCAAAAUCUGCUGGCUAAGCUUGGUGUAGACAGUAGGACACCGAGGGCCUCUAUCUUUGACAAUGAGGCGGUUAUAUUUUUCGCGCCAGUGGCGUCUGAUCUCCAGGUCAUCUCUGCAAUUCUUGAGAGACAUGACAUUCUACCUCCGAUUGUCAAGUACUCCAGCAAGAUGAAAGGGUGGAAGCCCAAGCUGUUGGCUCCAACAGGCAGAGUAACCCUGACGAGCUUGGUUUUAAUGGAUCUACCAAUUCACUUUCUGUCAGUUAUCCCAUUACCGACUUGGGCGCUCAAGAUUAUUGACAGUAUAUAUAGAGGCUUUGUGUGGAAAAGCGAGGAGGAAAUCAAUGGGGGCCACUACCUGGUCCCAUGGGCCCGAUGGCUGAGAUGGGAUCUUGAGCAACGACUUUGGAAACUCCUUCCUGACCAGCAAGACAAGGAAGCCUCCGCUUUGUUUGCGGCUGCGAGUCGGGUGGUACUGGGGAGCGGCAACACUGCUAGGUUCUGGACGGAUAUCUAG
Molecule: ribosomal RNA, 1182 nt
Filed under: Triticum aestivum (bread wheat)
Lineage: Eukaryota; Viridiplantae; Streptophyta; Magnoliopsida; Poales; Poaceae
Description: partial small subunit ribosomal RNA
Source: RNAcentral